AUGGCCGCCGCCGCCCCCUCCGCCACGGCGCUCGCCGGCGCAGCCCUCCCGCUCCCCCUCUCCGCGCGACCUCAACCCGCUCGGUUCUCCGUGGCGCUCCCCCGGACGGCCCCUCCUCCCCCGGCCCUGCGGCUCCGGUCGGUGCGGCGCCUGGCGGCGGCCGAGGGGCCCCCGGCGGGCAUGAAGGAGACGCUGGACAAGGUGGUGUCGGCGCACAAGGUGGUGCUGUUCAUGAAGGGGACCAAGGACUUCCCGCAGUGCGGCUUCUCCCACACCGUGGUGCAGAUCCUGCGCUCCCUCGACGUGCCCUUCGAGACGCUCGACGUGCUUGCUAACGACGCCCUCCGCCAGGGGCUCAAGGACUACUCCAGCUGGCCCACCUUCCCGCAGCUCUACAUCGACGGCGAGUUCUUCGGCGGAUGCGACAUCACCCUCGAGGCAUACAAGAGUGGGGAACUGCAGGAGACGCUGGAGAAAGCAAUGUGCUCUUAG
RNAcentral lists this ribosomal RNA (492 nucleotides) under Triticum aestivum (bread wheat). Its description in RNAcentral is "partial small subunit ribosomal RNA". Lineage: Eukaryota; Viridiplantae; Streptophyta; Magnoliopsida; Poales; Poaceae. The record is from RNAcentral.